AGUGAACGCUGGCGGUAGGCCUAACACAUGCAAGUCGAACGGCAGCACAGUAAGAGCUUGCUCUUACGGGUGGCGAGUGGCGGACGGGUGAGGAAUACAUCGGAAUCUACUUUUUCGUGGGGGAUAACGUAGGGAAACUUACGCUAAUACCGCAUACGACCUACGGGUGAAAGCAGGGGAUCUUCGGACCUUGCGCGAUUGAAUGAGCCGAUGUCGGAUUAGCUAGUUGGCGGGGUAAAGGCCCACCAAGGCGACGAUCCGUAGCUGGUCUGAGGGGAUGAUCAGCCACACUGGAACUGAGACACGGUCCAGACUCCUACGGGAGGCAGCAGUGGGGAAUAUUGGACAAUGGGCGCAGGCCUGAUCCAGCCAUACCGCGUGGGUGAAGAAGGCCUUCGGGUUGUAAAGCCCUUUUGUUGGGAAAGAAAAGCAGCAGGUUAAUACCCCGCUGUUCUGACGGUACCCAAAGAAUAAGCACCGGCUAACUUCGUG
This 492-nucleotide ribosomal RNA is filed under the name uncultured bacterium. RNAcentral describes it as "partial 16S ribosomal RNA". It matches the Rfam family "Bacterial small subunit ribosomal RNA", at positions 29 to 507 of the family's 1533-position model. The record is from RNAcentral.